RNAcentral lists this ribosomal RNA (361 nucleotides) under Furcifer oustaleti (Oustalet's chamelion). Its description in RNAcentral is "partial 16S small subunit ribosomal RNA". It matches the Rfam family "Bacterial large subunit ribosomal RNA", at positions 1965 to 2555 of the family's 2925-position model. The record is from RNAcentral. Lineage: Eukaryota; Metazoa; Chordata; Lepidosauria; Squamata; Chamaeleonidae.
UCACUUGUCCCUUAAAUGAGGACGCGUAUGAAAGGCAACAUGAGAGAAGACCUGUCUCCUAAGGACUGCCAAUGAAAUUGAACUACCAGUUCAAAAGCUGGUAUUAAAAAGCAAGACAAAAAGACCCUGUGGAACUUUAAUUAUCUGCUUUACACAAUAUAACCAGUAAUUUCAGUUGGGACAACUUUAGAAAAAAUAAACUUCCUAUUUACCAAGACUGACUAGUCCAUAACCAUCACGACCCAGUAAUACUGAUUAACGAAACAAGCUACCCCAGGGAUAACAGCGCCACCUUCUCAAAGAGUCCAUAUCAACAAGAAGAUCUACGACCUCGAUGUUGGAUCGGGGUACCCAGACGGUG